UACGUAGGGGGCGAGCGUUGCCCGAAUUUACUGGGCGUAAAGCGCACGUAGGCGGCUUCGUAAGUCUGGUGUGAAAUCUCACGGCUAAACCGAGAGACUGCACCAGAUACUGCGAAGCUCGAGGACGGGAGAGGAGAUUGGAAUUCCCGGUGUAGCGGUGAAAUGCAUUGAUAUCGGGAGGAACACCAGUGGCGAAGGCGGAUCUCUGGCCCGUUGCUGACGCUGAGGUGAGAAAGCUGGGGGAGCGAAAGGG
Molecule: ribosomal RNA, 253 nt
Filed under: uncultured bacterium
Lineage: Bacteria
Description: partial 16S ribosomal RNA
Rfam family: Bacterial small subunit ribosomal RNA
Source: RNAcentral